CGUAGGAGGCGAGCGUUAUCCGGAUUCACUGGGCGUAAAGCGCGUGCAGGUGGCUUGGUAAGUUAGGCGUGAAAUCUCCCGGCUCAACUGGGAGAGGUCGUCUAAUACUACCGGGCUAGAGAGCAGAAGAGGAAGAUGGAAUUCCCGGUGUAGUGGUGAAAUGCGUAGAUAUCGGGAGGAACACCAGUGGCGAAGGCGAUCUUCUGGUCUGUUUCUGACACUCAGACGCGACAGCUAGGGUAGUAAACGGGAUUAGAGACCCCGGUAAUCCUAGCCGUAAACGAUGCGAACUUGGCGUCGGUGGGUUAAACUCCAUCAGUGCCGAAGCAAACGCGAUAAGUUCACCGCCUGGGGACUACGGCCGCAAGGUUA
RNAcentral lists this ribosomal RNA (372 nucleotides) under uncultured organism. RNAcentral's name for it is "bacterial SSU rRNA". It matches the Rfam family "Bacterial small subunit ribosomal RNA", at positions 526 to 896 of the family's 1533-position model. The record is from RNAcentral.